RNAcentral lists this non-coding RNA (23 nucleotides) under Cricetulus griseus (Chinese hamster). The record is from RNAcentral. Lineage: Eukaryota; Metazoa; Chordata; Mammalia; Rodentia; Cricetidae.
UGUGUUGAAAGUAGAGGCAUGAU